GAUGAACGCUGGCGGCGUGCCUAAUACAUGCAAGUCGAGCGAACAGACGAGGAGCUUGCUCCUCUGACGUUAGCGGCGGACGGGUGAGUAACACGUGGAUAACCUACCUAUAAGACUGGGAUAACUUCGUGAAACCGGAGCUAAUACCGGAUAAUAUAUUGAACCGCAUGGUUCAAUAGUGAAAGACGGUUUUGCUGUCACUUAUAGAUUGAUCCGCGCCGCAUUAGCUAGUUGGUAAGGUAACGGCUUACCAAGGCAACGAUGCGUAGCCGACCUGAGAGGGUGAUCGGCCACACUGGAACUGAGACACGGUCCAGACUCCUACGGGAGGCAGCAGUAGGGAAUCUUCCGCAAUGGGCGAAAGCUUGACGGAGCAACGCCGCGUGAGUGAUGAAGGUCUUCGGAUCGUAAAACUCUGUUAUUAGGGAAGAACAAAUGUGUAAGUAACUAUGCAAGUCUUGACGGUACCUAAUCAGAAAGCCACGGCUAACUACGUG
This 497-nucleotide ribosomal RNA is filed under the name uncultured bacterium. Its description in RNAcentral is "partial 16S ribosomal RNA". It matches the Rfam family "Bacterial small subunit ribosomal RNA", at positions 28 to 507 of the family's 1533-position model. The record is from RNAcentral.